Phrynosoma platyrhinos (Desert horned lizard) is the source of this 72-nucleotide non-coding RNA. The record is from the annotation of a GenBank genome assembly. NCBI's taxonomy places the organism in Eukaryota, Metazoa, Chordata, Lepidosauria, Squamata, Phrynosomatidae.
GCCAAUGUGGUGUAGUGGUUUGAGCAUUGGGCUGUGACUCUGGAGACCAGGGUUCGAUUCCCUGCUCAGUCA